This is a long non-coding RNA of Gambusia affinis (western mosquitofish), 284 nucleotides long. RefSeq lists it as uncharacterized. The transcript is spliced from 3 exons. The record is from RefSeq and is a predicted model, not a curated record. Lineage: Eukaryota; Metazoa; Chordata; Actinopteri; Cyprinodontiformes; Poeciliidae.
CUUUAACCGGAGGCUGGCUGGGAGCUACCAGGGAAGAGGCCACAUUAUUCUCCUCAAACAAAGGCAUGACAUUUAAACUGCGCAUGUAAACAACUGCAACGUCCUGCAGCAGAGGAGUCCAGCAACAAUAAAAGAUGCAGGAAAAGUAGCAAAACAUUGGAAAAUAGUUAGUUGCUUUUAAAGUGUUCAACGUGUUCUUUAAUGAGGGACUGGAGAUCCAAGAGUCCAGGAAGAGUAUCUCAGAUACUCAGAGAGUCCAUCACGUGCAAAAAAAAAAAUCUAUC